RNAcentral lists this ribosomal RNA (493 nucleotides) under uncultured bacterium. RNAcentral describes it as "bacterial SSU rRNA". It matches the Rfam family "Bacterial small subunit ribosomal RNA", at positions 26 to 507 of the family's 1533-position model. The record is from RNAcentral.
AGGAUGAACGCUAGCGACAGGCCUAACACAUGCAAGGUCGAGGGGCAGCACGGUGUAGCAAUACGACGGGUGGCGACCGGCGCACGGGUGAGUAACGCGUAUGCAACCUGCCUACUACGAAGGGGAUAACCCGUUGAAAGACGGACUAAUACCCUAUAACACAGGGAAUCCGCAUGGAUAUAUUUGUUAAAGAUUUAUCGGUAGUAGAUGGGCAUGCGUUCCAUUAGCUUGUUGGUGAGGUAACGGCUCACCAAGGCAACGAUGGAUAGGGGAACUGAGAGGUUGAUCCCCCACACUGGAACUGAGACACGGUCCAGACUCCUACGGGAGGCAGCAGUGAGGAAUAUUGGUCAAUGGACGAGAGUCUGAACCAGCCAAGUCGCGUGAAGGAAGACGGCCCUACGGGUUGUAAACUUCUUUUGUAAGGGAAUAAAUAGUCUUACGCGCUAAGACGUUGCAGGUACCUUACGAAUAAGGAUCGGCUAACUCCGUG